AGGCCGUGACGAUGAAUUUAUAUACCAUCAAACUAUGAAAGCUUUAUUAAGCUUGUUGAUGCCAUCUAUACUCUCCGAGCCU
Cicer arietinum (chickpea) is the source of this 82-nucleotide non-coding RNA. The record is from Rfam. Lineage: Eukaryota; Viridiplantae; Streptophyta; Magnoliopsida; Fabales; Fabaceae.